Molecule: ribosomal RNA, 2939 nt
Filed under: Providencia stuartii
Lineage: Bacteria; Pseudomonadati; Pseudomonadota; Gammaproteobacteria; Enterobacterales; Morganellaceae
Description: 23S ribosomal RNA
Rfam family: Bacterial large subunit ribosomal RNA
Source: RNAcentral
GGGUUGUGAGGUUAAGCGACUAAGCGUACACGGUGGAUGCCUAGGCAAUCAGAGGCGAUGAAGGACGUGCUAAUCUGCGAAAAGCGUCGGUAAGGUGAUAUGAACCGUUAUAACCGACGAUGUCCGAAUGGGGAAACCCAGUGCAAUUCGUUGCACUAUCGUUUGAUGAAUCCAUAGUCAAACGAGGCGAACCGGGGGAACUGAAACAUCUCAGUACCCCGAGGAAAAGAAAUCAACCGAGAUUCCCCUAGUAGCGGCGAGCGAACGGGGAGCAGCCCAGAGUCUUAAUCAGCAUCAGCAUCAGGAGAACGGUCUGGAAAGGCCGGCAAUAAAGGGUGAUAGCCCCGUAUCCGAAGGUGUUGGUGUUGUGAACUCGACGAGUAGGGCGGGACACGUGUUAUCCUGUCUGAAUAUGGGGGGACCAUCCUCCAAGGCUAAAUACUCCUGAUUGACCGAUAGUGAACCAGUACCGUGAGGGAAAGGCGAAAAGAACCCCGGCGAGGGGAGUGAAAUAGAACCUGAAACCGUGUACGUACAAGCAGUGGGAGCCUUGAUUUAUCAGGGUGACUGCGUACCUUUUGUAUAAUGGGUCAGCGACUUAUAUUCUGUAGCAAGGUUAACCGAAUAGGGGAGCCGUAGGGAAACCGAGUCUUAACUGGGCGAAUGAGUUGCAGGGUAUAGACCCGAAACCCGGUGAUCUAGCCAUGGGCAGGUUGAAGGUUGGGUAACACUAACUGGAGGACCGAACCGACUAAUGUUGAAAAAUUAGCGGAUGACUUGUGGCUGGGGGUGAAAGGCCAAUCAAACCGGGAGAUAGCUGGUUCUCCCCGAAAGCUAUUUAGGUAGCGCCUCGUGAACUCAUCUUCGGGGGUAGAGCACUGUUUCGGCUAGGGGGUCAUCCCGACUUACCAACCCGAUGCAAACUACGAAUACCGAAGAAUGUUAUCACGGGAGACACACGGCGGGUGCUAACGUUCGUCGUGAAGAGGGAAACAACCCAGACCGCCAGCUAAGGUCCCAAAGUCAUGGUUAAGUGGGAAACGAAGUGGGAAGGCUCAGACAGCCAGGAUGUUGGCUUAGAAGCAGCCAUCAUUUAAAGAAAGCGUAAUAGCUCACUGGUCGAGUCGGCCUGCGCGGAAGAUGUAACGGGGCUAAACCAUGCACCGAAGCUGCGGCAGCGACAUUUAGAUGUUGUUGGGUAGGGGAGCGUUCUGUAAGCCUGUGAAGGUGUGCUGCGAGGCAUGCUGGAGGUAUCAGAAGUGCGAAUGCUGACAUAAGUAACGAUAAUGCGGGUGAAAAACCCGCACGCCGGAAGACCAAGGGUUCCUGUCCAACGUUAAUCGGGGCAGGGUGAGUCGACCCCUAAGGCGAGGCAGAAAUGCGUAGUCGAUGGGAAACAGGUUAAUAUUCCUGUACUGGUGAUAAUUGCGAUGGGGGGACGGAGAAGGCUAGGCUGGCCGGGCGACGGUUGUCCCGGUUUAAGGAUGUAGGUGGGCGAAUUAGGCAAAUCCGGUUCGCUAUACACUGAGGUCUGAUGACGAGUCACUACGGUGGCGAAGUAGCUCAUGCCCCGCUUCCAGGAAAAGCCUCUAAGCUCUAGAUUAUCAUUAAUCGUACCCCAAACCGACACAGGUGGUCAGGUAGAGAAUACUCAGGCGCUUGAGAGAACUCGGGUGAAGGAACUAGGCAAAAUGGUGCCGUAACUUCGGGAGAAGGCACGCUGGCACUAGGUGAAGUGGUUUACCCAUGGAGCCGAAGCCAGUCGCAGAUACCAGCUGGCUGCAACUGUUUAUUAAAAACACAGCACUGUGCAAACACGAAAGUGGACGUAUACGGUGUGACGCCUGCCCGGUGCUGGAAGGUUAAUUGAUGGGGUUAUCCGUAAGGAGAAGCUCUUGAUCGAAGCCCCAGUAAACGGCGGCCGUAACUAUAACGGUCCUAAGGUAGCGAAAUUCCUUGUCGGGUAAGUUCCGACCUGCACGAAUGGCGUAAUGAUGGCCAGGCUGUCUCCACCCGAGACUCAGUGAAAUUGAACUCGCUGUGAAGAUGCAGUGUACCCGCGGCAAGACGGAAAGACCCCGUGAACCUUUACUAUAGCUUGACACUGAACAUUGAGCCUUGAUGUGUAGGAUAGGUGGGAGGCUUUGAAGUGUGGACGCCAGUCUGCAUGGAGCCAACCUUGAAAUACCACCCUUUAAUGUUUGAUGUUCUAACGUAGCCCCAUAAUCUGGGGUGCGGACAGUGUCUGGUGGGUAGUUUGACUGGGGCGGUCUCCUCCCAAAGCGUAACGGAGGAGCACGAAGGUUGGCUAAGCAUGGUCGGACAUCAUGCGGUUAGUGCAAAGGCAUAAGCCAGCUUGACUGCGAGAGUGACGGCUCGAGCAGGUACGAAAGUAGGUCUUAGUGAUCCGGUGGUUCUGAAUGGAAGGGCCAUCGCUCAACGGAUAAAAGGUACUCCGGGGAUAACAGGCUGAUACCGCCCAAGAGUUCAUAUCGACGGCGGUGUUUGGCACCUCGAUGUCGGCUCAUCACAUCCUGGGGCUGAAGUAGGUCCCAAGGGUAUGGCUGUUCGCCAUUUAAAGUGGUACGCGAGCUGGGUUUAGAACGUCGUGAGACAGUUCGGUCCCUAUCUGCCGUGGGCGUUGGAAGAUUGAAAGGGGCUGCUCCUAGUACGAGAGGACCGGAGUGGACGCACCGCUGGUGUUCGGGUUGUCAUGCCAAUGGCACUGCCCGGUAGCUAAGUGCGGAAGAGAUAACCGCUGAAAGCAUCUAAGCGGGAAACUUGCCUUGAGAUGAGUCUUCCCUGACCCUCUAAGGGUCCUAAAGGAACGUUUAAGACGAAGACGUUGAUAGGCUGGGUGUGUAAGCGUAGCGAUACGUUGAGCUAACCAGUACUAAUGAACCGUGAGGCUUAACCUGACAACACCGAAGGUGUUUUAG